Molecule: ribosomal RNA, 497 nt
Filed under: uncultured bacterium
Lineage: Bacteria
Description: partial 16S ribosomal RNA
Rfam family: Bacterial small subunit ribosomal RNA
Source: RNAcentral
GAUGAACGCUGGCGGCGUGCCUAAUACAUGCAAGUCGAGCGAACAGACGAGGAGCUUGCUCCUCUGACGUUAGCGGCGGACGGGUGAGUAACACGUGUAUACCCUACCUAUAAGACUGGUAUAACUUCGGGAAACCGGAGCUAAUACCGGAUAAUAUAUUGAACCGCAUGGUUCAAUAGUGAAAGACGGUUUUGCUGUCACUUAUAGAUGGAUCCGCGCCGCAUUAGCUAGUUGGUAAGGUAACGGCUUACCAAGGCAACGAUGCGUAGCCGACCGGAGAGGGUGAUCGGCCACCCUGGAAGUGAGACGGCGACCAUAGUCCUAAGGGAGGCAGCAGUAGGGAAUGGUACGCAAUGGGCGAAAGCCUGACGGAGCAACGCCGCGUGAGUGAUGAAGGCCUUCGGAGCGUAAAACUCUGUUAUUAGGGAAGAACAAAUGUGUAAGUAACUAUGCACGUCUUGACGGUACCGAAUCAGAAAGCCACGGCUAACUACGUG